Molecule: transfer RNA, 77 nt
Filed under: Fidelibacterota bacterium MT.SAG.2
Lineage: Bacteria; Pseudomonadati; Fidelibacterota
Description: Candidatus Marinimicrobia bacterium MT.SAG.2 tRNA-Arg
Rfam family: tRNA
About the family: Transfer RNA (tRNA) molecules are approximately 80 nucleotides in length.
Source: RNAcentral
GCGCCCGUAGCUCAACUGGAUAGAGCAACGGCCUUCUAAGCCGUAGGUUUCGUGUUCGAGUCACGACGGGCGUACAA